This 1269-nucleotide long non-coding RNA is filed under the name Nicotiana benthamiana. Its description in RNAcentral is "long non-coding RNA (NBEN_LNC023651)". Lineage: Eukaryota; Viridiplantae; Streptophyta; Magnoliopsida; Solanales; Solanaceae. The record is from RNAcentral.
UCUCUUCUCCAAACCCUCAAAAACUUGUCCAAAUUUUCUCAAGCCUUCCAGAAAUUCUUCAUCAAAAUGUUGAAUCCCCAAGAUAAUCCUGGAACCCCACUACCAUUGUCACCUAACACCACUUCAUCAUCCACACCUCUUAGUGAAUCCCCAAAGCCCAUAUUCUGUCGCAAAAAAAUGAUAGCAAGAAAAACUAUUGCGACUAGUCCCUUGAGGAAAGCUCUAAACAAAAGAUUGAAGGAAAGUCAAAAGAAAGAAUCUCCAGCAAAAGAAACUGAUUCCAGUUCUGAGUCUGAUGAUUACAUCUCUGCCAGUAAGGGAGAUGAACCUGGGCGUUCUGACAAUGUCACACAUAAAGAAACCCCAAAAGAGGUAAAUCCAAGUAUUGUUUCUGAGGAACCAGUGAAGGAGAUGAACCUGGGCCUUCUGAAAAUGUCACACAUAAAGAAACCCAAAAAGAGGUAAAUCUGGGUGUUGUUUCUAAUGAUGUAGGGGAAAGGGUAGAAAAUAGGUAUGUUCUAAUAGGGGCUGCAAAAGAUGUUGCUGUGGGUGAUUCCGUGAAAUUGAAGACAAUUGAGGAAGAAGGUGCUAGCUAUAUGUGGGAGUGGGGAAGAAGGGGCCUCGAAGUCAAGGGGAAGUGAGUCUGGAGAGGCUGCUAAAGGGUUAGUUGGUUUGAGCAAACAAACUGUUGAACCUGGUCUAUCUGCGGAAAAAACUCUUGUUGAGAUGAUGAAGAAGAUUUGGGCUAGUUAUGAUCCCAAGAAAUGCAAGGCUUCCUCACAAAGGACUCAUGUUGCGUCCAAACCAACCAAGAAAUCCAAACCCUAAACACCCAAGUGUGCUCCUAGGGUUUGGACAACUAGAAUCAAGGUUAGGGAGGGUGAAGCUGAGUUGCAAAAAACUUUAGAGGAGAGUAAGAGAAAAGAAAAGAAAAGGGGAAAGGGAAGCUAGGUGAAAGUUUAGAAGUUAUAGGUAAGGAGGUCGAAGAGGAGAUGGAACUGGUACAUCAAGAAAGAAACACUACUGCGGAGGUUCCACUUGCAAAAUCAAAGGAGCUUAGGACUUCCUCUAAGAAGCCCUCCAAACCAGUUCCUGCUGAAUACUCCCUUGCAAGAGAACAAGAUUAUCCUCUAAGGGAAAACAAGUCAAAGUACCCAUUAUUUGAAAAAAAAAGAAGAAGAUGAAAGUGAGUAUGAAGAAGAAUAGGACAGGUAUGCAAACUUUGACAAAAGAAAAAUAUUGAAGGGAAGAUUGCUGAAAGACCUAGAG